GGGUGCGAUCAUACCAGCGUUAAUGCACCAGAUCCCAUCGGAACUCCACGGUUAAGCGUGCUAGUGCUAGAGUAGUAUUGGGAUGGGGAACCGCCUGGGAGGUCUUAGUGCUACACCCU
Non-coding RNA from Picea glauca (white spruce), 119 nucleotides. Lineage: Eukaryota; Viridiplantae; Streptophyta; Pinopsida; Pinales; Pinaceae. The record is from Rfam.